RNAcentral lists this non-coding RNA (21 nucleotides) under Arabidopsis thaliana (thale cress). Lineage: Eukaryota; Viridiplantae; Streptophyta; Magnoliopsida; Brassicales; Brassicaceae. The record is from RNAcentral.
CAGUUACUAUGAUUUUGGUUG